UACGGAGGGUGCAAGCGUUGUCCGGAAUCACUGGGCGUAAAGGGCGCGUAGGCGGCUCGGUAAGUAGGGGGUGAAAUCCUGCGGCUUAACCGCAGGGCUGCCUUCUAAACUGUCGGGCUUGAGUACGGAAGAGGCGAGUGGAAUUCCUGGUGUAGCGGUGAAAUGCGCAGAUAUCAGGAGGAACACCAAUUGCGAAGGCAGCUCGCUGGGACGUUACUGACGCUGAGACGCGAAAGCGUGGGGAGCAAACAGG
Molecule: ribosomal RNA, 253 nt
Filed under: uncultured bacterium
Lineage: Bacteria
Description: partial 16S ribosomal RNA
Rfam family: Bacterial small subunit ribosomal RNA
Source: RNAcentral